Molecule: ribosomal RNA, 460 nt
Filed under: uncultured bacterium
Lineage: Bacteria
Description: partial 16S ribosomal RNA
Rfam family: Bacterial small subunit ribosomal RNA
Source: RNAcentral
CCUACGGGAGGCAGCAGUGAGGAAUAUUGGUCAAUGGGCGCGAGCCUGAACCAGCCAAGUAGCGUGAAGGAUGACUGCCCUACGGGUUGUAAACUUCUUUCAUAAAGGAAUAAAGUGAGGCACGUGUGCCUCUUUGUAUGUAUUUUAUGAAUAAGGAUCGGCUAACUCCGUGCCAGCAGCCGCGGUAAUACGGAGGAUCAGAGCGUUAUCCGGAUUUAUUGGGUUUAAAGGGAGCGUAGAUGGGUUGUUAAGUCAGUUGUGAAAGUUUGCGGCUCAACCGUCAAAUUGCAAUUGAUACUGGCAGCCUUGAGUACAGUUGAGGGAGGCGGAAUUCGUGGUGUAGCGGUGAAAUGCGUAGAUAUCACGAAGAACUCCGAUUGCGAAGGCAGCCUACUAAACUUCCACUGACAUUGAUGCUCGAAAGUGUGGGUAUCAAACAGGAUUAGAUACCCCUGUAGUC